This is a non-coding RNA of Pelobates cultripes (western spadefoot toad), 441 nucleotides long. NCBI's taxonomy places the organism in Eukaryota, Metazoa, Chordata, Amphibia, Anura, Pelobatidae. The record is from the annotation of a GenBank genome assembly.
GUUAUUCACUUCACCUGUCAGUGGUUUUAAGGUUAAAGCUGAUCUGUGUGUGCCUUUGGUUUUCAUUUUGAGCUGUUUUUUGCUUUUACACAUUGUGUGCACACAUAUGGACCAAAACAUCCUUUCUUUGUUUUAAAAGGACAAUCUAGGUACCAUAGCCACUUCAGCUCAUUGGAAUAGAUAUGCAGGUAGGAGUCUCUUCCUACUGGUUUUAAUCGUUUUAACAUAUUUACAUGAAAGUCACCAGGCACUCGUUGUUCUGGAAUGUAAAUUAAUUAAUGUGGAUAAGCCAUAUUAUUCCAAAUCAGUUAUGGGUGGCAAUGAUGGUCUGGGUGGCAACUACAGCUUCUAAUUGCAAAGCAUCACUCCAAGCAUAAGAGAGAGAGUGGGCUGUGACCGCCCAAGUAAGCUCAUUUACUUUGGACAGUGGGAUGACACCAG